Molecule: ribosomal RNA, 91 nt
Filed under: Mus pahari (shrew mouse)
Lineage: Eukaryota; Metazoa; Chordata; Mammalia; Rodentia; Muridae
Description: rRNA (MGP_PahariEiJ_G0032610.1)
Source: RNAcentral
GUCUUCGGUCAUCCUAAACCCUGAAAGUGCCUGAUCUCAUAUGAUCUUGGAAGCUAAGCAGGGUUGGUCCUGGUUCGAUUGGAGGGUACCU